RNAcentral lists this ribosomal RNA (450 nucleotides) under uncultured organism. RNAcentral's name for it is "partial 16S ribosomal RNA". It matches the Rfam family "Bacterial small subunit ribosomal RNA", at positions 334 to 800 of the family's 1533-position model. The record is from RNAcentral.
CACUCCUACGGGAGGCAGCAGUGGGGAAUAUUGGACAAUGGGCGCAAGCCUGAUCCAGCCAUGCCGCGUGAGUGAUGAAGGCCCUAGGGUUGUAAAGCUCUUUCACCGGUGAAGAUAAUGACGGUAACCGGAGAAGAAGCCCCGGCUAACUUCGUGCCAGCAGCCGCGGUAAUACGAAGGGGGCUAGCGUUGUUCGGAUUUACUGGGCGUAAAGCGCACGUAGGCGGACUAUUAAGUCAGGGGUGAAAUCCCGGGGCUCAACCCCGGAACUGCCUUUGAUACUGGUAGUCUUGAGUUCGAGAGAGGUGAGUGGAAUUCCGAGUGCAGAGGUGAAAUUCGUAGAUAUUCGGAGGAACACCAGUGGCGAAGGCGGCUCACUGGCUCGAUACUGACGCUGAGGUGCGAAAGCGUGGGGAGCAAACAGGAUUAGAUACCCUAGUAGUCCCAUGA